GGCAUCAACCAAAUCUAGAGAACUGGUAAAUUGGUCAUUUGCAGCAAAUUGUCAAAUCCAAUUUGAAUCUAUUAUUUUUCAGUUACUUUAUAGGAUUAUAUGGUUAUUCAUGUCAUUUCUCAAAAGUGUAUGUAUUGUCUAAUGAAUAUCUGCAGAAAAAAAAACUAUUAAACCGCUAAUUUACAUUUAAAACGGUACAGUCAGCACUUAUACCCAAUCUACAGAACUAUAGGGUCAUUCAGGUCAUUUCAACACAUUUCAGCUGCAGCUGUAGUCGCACCAGCCGCCGAAACAAACAAACAUCAGACAUCUCCAAUUUUCCAGCCACAGCUGACAGCUACCGCUGAUUCUGAAGCUGCAAGAAUCAGCUGCAGUCCAAACAAACAAAACCUUAACGAAGCAGCAGCUCCACCUGCUGACCCUUCAAAACAAAAAAAAUGCAUAAUUCAGGUUGCGGCCAGCCAGGCGGACGUACUCCUGUGAACCAAUAAUUGUACGUGCCGCUCUAUGGGUGCGCCACUGGCUAGAGCGAUGAACC
RNAcentral lists this long non-coding RNA (538 nucleotides) under Brachypodium distachyon (stiff brome). RNAcentral describes it as "long non-coding RNA (BDIS_LNC005948)". The record is from RNAcentral. Lineage: Eukaryota; Viridiplantae; Streptophyta; Magnoliopsida; Poales; Poaceae.